This 5011-nucleotide small RNA is filed under the name Pan troglodytes (chimpanzee). RNAcentral describes it as "retained intron". The record is from RNAcentral. Lineage: Eukaryota; Metazoa; Chordata; Mammalia; Primates; Hominidae.
CCAUCAGAUCAAGUCAUUACAGUAUAGUAACACAGGAGACAUGAUUCUUGUUGUAUCUGGAAGCUCUCAGGCCAAGGUGAUUGACAGAGAUGGUUUUGAAGUAAUGGAAUGUAUAAAAGGAGACCAGUAUAUUGUGGACAUGGCCAACACCAAGGGUCAUACAGCAAUGCUUCAUACUGGCUCAUGGCAUCCCAAAAUAAAGGGAGAAUUUAUGACUUGCUCAAAUGAUGCGACUGUGAGGACGUGGGAAGUUGAAAAUCCAAAGAAGCAAAAAAGUGUGUUUAAACCACGGACGAUGCAAGGCAAAAAAGUCAUUCCCACUACGUGCACAUAUAGUAGAGAUGGAAACCUCAUAGCAGCUGCCUGCCAGAAUGGAAGCAUACAGAUCUGGGACCGAAAUUUGACUGUUCAUCCUAAGUUCCACUAUAAACAGGCUCAUGACUCGGGCACAGACACUUCUUGCGUGACUUUUUCCUAUGAUGGUAAUGUCCUUGCCUCUCGUGGAGGUGACGAUUCAUUAAAAUUAUGGGACAUCCGACAAUUUAAUAAACCACUUUUUUCAGCCUCGGGUCUUCCCACCAUGUUCCCAAUGACUGACUGCUGUUUCAGUCCAGAUGAUAAGCUCAUAGUCACUGGUACAUCUAUUCAAAGAGGAUGUGGCAGUGGCAAACUUGUUUUCUUUGAGCGUAGGACUUUCCAAAGGGUGUAUGAAAUAGACAUCACAGAUGCGAGUGUUGUUCGCUGCCUGUGGCAUCCAAAGCUGAACCAGAUCAUGGUUGGAACUGGAAAUGGAUUGGCUAAAGUCUAUUACGACCCCAACAAGAGUCAGAGGUAUUUCAUAAGUAUUGCCUGUUUUAGAUGGAUGACAACAACUGGGGGGAGGGAUUUCCCUCCCACCCCCGCUUUUAUUUAUUUCCCACUUUGAUGGAGAUCCACCCAUUUAGAAAAUGCAGCUGGAACAAAGUAAAGCCUCAAACUCCUGGUAUUGUGCUUUAAAAAGGAUUUGAAUAUUGCCCUUGAUCCACACUGAAUUCAAAGCGAAAGUUUCCUGGGAAUUUGCAGUUGUUUAGCUGAAAUGUUGAGUGCAAGGGGGAAAAACGUUCUGCCCACUUUGCAUACCACCCUGGACAGAGGCAUUAGCAGUGAUACAUGUAAUAGAUUUAACAAAGCAGGGAACUAACCACUUACAGGAAAUGGAAUCGGCUUGUCCAUUUUGCUUCUUUCUUUUUUGGCUUCUAGCAGUUACUGGUUUGGAUGUCUCUGUCCGCAGAAAGGGACAGCACAGAUACGUUUCCCCUCCACCCCCAUGCCCACCCAAGUUUCAAACUUAAGCAUACCACUGUAUUUCAAAAGUCUGAAAACGUAACUAGAGGUUCAGUCAUUUCCUCAGUUAUUUCCGUUUUGCUUAGGCACAAAGAUGGAUAUGUGUCAUCACCCAGAAAAGAUGGUUUUGUUUCUCUCUUUUAAAGUACAGUGACUGAAAAGCUCUUUCUUUAGAGUAAGACUUGGUUAACUAGCAUUAAAAUUCACAUGUGAAAUUUACUGGGGUCCCAUAUAAACCUGUUUUAAGGUCCCACAUCCUUUGAGGAAAGGAAAGCCAGCCUCUAUUAAUGAAUAUUCAUUGGCCAUAAUUUUGCUCUGAAUAGAAGCAGACAGCCCCGUCUUCCUUCAGAGCUUCCUGGACUAGAGUUGGAAUCCUGGCCUUAUACAAUAAAGUAUAUUUAUGGUAUUUGAAAACAAAUAGGAUUUUAUUUGUUUUUUAAAAAAGAAAUUAAAAAUGCUAAUGUACUUAGGAUGGGAGUCUGUUUCACUUGAGAAAAUGAUGAGCCUCAUUUGAUAGCACCCAUUUAGAAGGCACUUUCUGUGGAAGCUUUGCUUUAAGAAAUUUACUUAUUUGUAUUUGCUUCUCUUGAAAAGGAUAACUCUGUACUACUAAGGAGAAGUGCAAUGUUCUAAGCACAUUUUUGGUUAAUCCCACACAUUCUUGGGCCAUAGCCCCUCGGCAACACUGCCAAGCCAACUCAGUUCCAGACACUUGUACUCUUGUAUUUGAAAAGUGGACAUAUGCCAUUUGGGGUGUAGACCACCCAGGUUGCUUUAGUCUGAGACAUAAACUAAAAUUUUAACCCUGUGACCUUUAGAGUGAAAAGGUUGGGUAAUUUUAUUAUUUAAGAUCUUAAAAUUUCACAUUAUUCCUAUAGGUUUUGUAAACUUGUGUCCUGUUGCCCUGUUACCUCUCCAACCCUCUUGCUUGUUAAUAACCACUGACUGACAGACUUGCUUUUCCAUAAGUUUAAGCUAUUAUCACUGAGAGCCCAUCUGUUGCCAUCCCUCAGAAAGUCAAGUACUUGUGUAGAUGGAGUGCAUGCACAGAGUAUGUUCCUGAAAGUAUCUCAUGUUUUCAACAUGAAAUUUUCUGUUUCUAAGACCAAGUAAAGAAAAUAAUUUGCUUUUACACCCGUUAGGGGAGCAAAAUUAUGUGUGGUUAAAACCCAGCGGAAGGCAAAACAAGCUGAGACUCUAACUCAGGACUACAUCAUCACCCGUAAGUCGUUAACAUGCCUCUCAAUCAUGCAUCUCUCUUCUACUCUCAUGUGGUUUUGAUUGCAUAGCUUUAGAGACAGAGAAAGCCCUCAGAAUUCAGGCAUAUAUUACAAAAUUGCCCAUUCAUGUGGAUAGGACUACGAGUCAUGUAACAGCUAACCUCUGUGGCUUCUGUGACUCUUCACAGGGACAGGGUUAUUUCAUGCAGCUUUCAACCCAAAAGGGAAAAGCCUGUUCGAGUCCAAUACAUUACUUUAUAGCAGUUUUUUCAAGAGUAACAGUCUGUUCCAAGUGUGAACAAGAAAGAGUGCUGGUCUUGGAAUCAGGAGGCCUGGGUUUGUCCAGUUCCACCACUGACUGGCAAUGUGAUGUUGAACAACUUAACUUUUAAUCAGGGAAGUGUGGCGACCAGAGGAAGGGUCUCUUCCAGCUUUCUCUGAAAUUCUAUGACCAUGUGCUAGACUGAUCCACAGGAAUUUGUAUAUAAAAUUAACUACCUGGGGUAUGAGUAGAAAGCUUACUAGGGCAGAGUGGUUUCUCUCACGUAUGUCACACAACCUCAUUAAUCUGGCAGAUGUGUGUUCCCAGAGCCACAAUCUCAAACCUGCAACAGGUGACAGCUAGGAAAGAAAUAAUGGAUGCUACAGCAAUUAUCAUUAGCGGAUGGCCCUGUGGACUUUAUCAGUGACUCAGUCUGGAGCCCAGGGGGCGCUGUACUGCUGGGUUUUCUCACUGGUGGUGGGUCUCAUAUGAGACCAAGUCCCUUGGAGCUUAUGACCAGUAAAGAGAUCCCAUGACACUUUUUGCAAGAGUAGAAGUGUUAAAGUCAGUGUCAUAACUAGUCUAGCUCAUGUAAUUACAUGCGGCCUACUUAAAUUCCUCCAGUCGUUUGAAGUGAAAAGCUAUUUUCCCCCUCCUAAAAAUACUGUUGUGUUGUGUUGCCCAACUGAGUGACGGGUGGCUAUGUUUCUCAGCUCCCCUGACUCAAGGCAGGCAUGUUUUACUGGUGAGUGUUAUGGUCUGGCCUGAGUUGGCAGUAUAGGUAGAAGGUAGGAGGGGAUACUGGAAGAGGUUUUGAGGUGUUAUAGACAUUUUAUUGAUAUUAUAAAUUCCCUUUAACCUUUCCCUUCCUUCCCCUGGUCCCCUGGGAAAAGUUUCUUUUAAAGGGGGUUUAAUCUGCACGUAAGAGUCAAAAGAAACUGCUAGUACUUUUCUGGGGCAAAAAAAGGGAGUUAUUUAAUACUUCCCCUAAUAACUCUUUCCUUUUCCCCUAGAAUAUUAUACUGUUUUCCUUUUUAAAUUCUUACAAUCUUUUAUAUUCUGAAAUUUAAUUUUGACAUUGAGUAAACAGUAACAGCAAUUGAACGCAUAUUACUUUGGUUUUUAUUUUCUUAUUUUGCUACCAUAUAGCAGGAGGGAUAAGGCCCCAUUAAGUCCCCAUGCCAAGAGAUUUAGGCACCCCUUGCAUUCAUGGCAACCUUUAUCCCAGUUUCAGUGGGAUAAGUGUUCCUCCCUUCCGGUUACUCAGUGUUGUCAACUCCUCCUGAGAGGUGGUCACAUUUCAGAAACGUGUGAAGUGAUUCCAGUGUUUAUGAGACAUCUGAGGAAACUUCAGGGCUGACAGCAAGCUGUUGGCAUUAUUCACAUUUGGGUCCUGUAAGAAAUAAGAGGCAGUCCCAAUAUGUGUUUCUUUUCAAAACCACGGUAAUUAAGUUUUAACUGCUACCCAUGGUUUGGGAGAUGGGGAGCCUCACCGAUGUUUCCAUGACAAUAUUUGACAGUAUUUCCUGAGUGCUGUUAGCUGCCAGGAGAGGUGAGCAGUGAGUCUGGUCUCAAGCAAAAUUGGCUAAUUGGUUACAGUAAGACUGUCUUUUAUUAUCAGAUCAAGACUGUCAUUAUGACUUCCAUUUCAUCUUUCAGUUAGUCAUGCUUUAACUAUGUUUUGGAUGGAAAGGUUAUUGUUAUAAUGAAAUUUUUCAAAUGUGACUUCUUGUAGCUCAUGCCUUGCCUAUGUUCCGUGAGCCCCGCCAACGGAGUACAAGGAAACAGCUGGAGAAGGACAGAUUGGAUCCCCUGAAGUCGCAUAAACCUGAACCUCCUGUAGCAGGCCCAGGUCGUGGUGGCCGAGUUGGAACCCACGGGGGCACUCUCUCUUCCUAUAUUGUGAAGAACAUUGCUUUGGACAAGACCGAUGACAGUAAUCCUCGGGAAGCCAUUUUGCGUCAUGCCAAAGCAGCAGAAGACAGCCCAUAUUGGGUUUCUCCAGCAUAUUCCAAGACUCAGCCCAAAACCAUGUUUGCCCAAGUUGAAUCUGAUGAUGAGGAAGCAAAGAAUGAGCCAGAAUGGAAAAAACGUAAAAUUUGAAGAAUCUCAUUUGAGAGCUGUUUGCAUGAGUGGGAGGGGUAUGGGACAGGUUUGGGUUUUUUUUUUUUUUAUGCUCAUGAAAUUAAAAAUUCAUUUUUAUGAA